AACGAACGCUGGCGGCGCGCCUAAUACAUGCAAGUCGAGCGAGAAGGUGUAGCAAUACACUUGUAAAGCGGCGAACGGGUGAGGAAUACAUGGGUAAUCUACCAUCGAGUGGGGAAUAACCAACCGAAAGGUUGGCUAAUACCGCGUACGCCUCCGGGUCUUCGGGUUCGGAGGGAAAGCUGCACUGUGAGUGUAGCGCUCUUUGAUGAGCUCAUGUCCUAUCAGCUUGUUGGUAGGGUAACGGCCUACCAAGGCUUUGACGGGUAGCUGGUCUGAGAGGACGAUCAGCCACACUGGCACUGCGACACGGGCCAGACUCCUACGGGAGGCAGCAGUAAGGAAUAUUGCGCAAUGGGCGAAAGCCUGACGCAGCGACGCCGCGU
Molecule: ribosomal RNA, 383 nt
Filed under: uncultured bacterium
Lineage: Bacteria
Description: bacterial SSU rRNA
Rfam family: Bacterial small subunit ribosomal RNA
Source: RNAcentral